GACGAACGCUGGCGGCGUGCUUAACACAUGCAAGUCGAGCGGUAAGGCCCUUUCGGGGGUACACGAGCGGCGAACGGGUGAGUAACACGUGGGUGACCUGCCCUCAGCUCUGGGAUAAGCCUGGGAAACCGGGUCUAAUACUGGAUAUGACUCCAUGACGCAUGUUGUGGGGUGGAAAGCCUUGUGCGGCUGAGGAUGGGCCCGCGGCCUAUCAGCUUGUUGGUGGGGUGANGGCCUACCAAGGCGACGACGGGUAGCCGGCCUGAGAGGGCGACCGGCCACACUGGGACUGAGACACGGCCCAGGACUCCUACGGGAGGGCAGCAGUGGGGAAUCUUGCGCAAUGGGCGAAAGCCUGACGCAGCGACGCCGCGUGAGGGAUGACGGCC
RNAcentral lists this ribosomal RNA (389 nucleotides) under uncultured bacterium. RNAcentral describes it as "bacterial SSU rRNA". It matches the Rfam family "Bacterial small subunit ribosomal RNA", at positions 28 to 416 of the family's 1533-position model. The record is from RNAcentral.